UGGGGACCUUGUCAGUUCAGGAGUCGACCUCUGAAAUCUGCUGGGAGACUUUGUCAGUUCAGGAGUCACCUUCUCAACAGUUCUCGGAGACACCGUCUGUUCAGGAGUUGCCUUCUCAACAGUGUUUGGAGACGCCGUCUGUUCAGGAGUCGCCUUCUCAACAGUGCUGGGAGACCCUGACAGUUCAGGGGUCGGCUUCUCAACAGGGACUGGAGACCCUGUCAGUUCCGGGCCUUCCGACCUCGUCUUGUCAUCUGUCUUUGCCGGUGACUGGAAGCUCUUGCUGUAGCUUCCUGUCUCCUUAAAGAGCUGCUCGAAAUGAGGUUUGCAAUAAAGGACGCCAUCUAGCGAGGAAAAAUUACUCAGCUUUAGGGUUCCCUUGCAAUGGUUGCACUUGAAACAGGCCUUGUGAUAGGCGACGCCGUCGGCGCUGAGCUGGUCGACGACGUACACCGUCUUGUCGCAGGCCUUGCACUUCUGCUGAGUCCCGCUGAACGCCAUUGAUCCCCAGAUCUCUCGGAUUCGCGGCGAAUUGGAGAUGCUGAUUUGGGGAUCUUGGAAUUGGGGGAAUGGGGAUCGAUGCGCUUUUCG
RNAcentral lists this unclassified non-coding RNA (591 nucleotides) under Hevea brasiliensis (rubber tree). Lineage: Eukaryota; Viridiplantae; Streptophyta; Magnoliopsida; Malpighiales; Euphorbiaceae. The record is from RNAcentral.